Astatotilapia calliptera (eastern happy) is the source of this 504-nucleotide long non-coding RNA. NCBI's taxonomy places the organism in Eukaryota, Metazoa, Chordata, Actinopteri, Cichliformes, Cichlidae. The record is from Ensembl.
GGGUUAGCGCCUUUACACCCUUGGCUGUGGCCUUCCUGUCCAUGGGAACGGAUCCAUGUGGAUUUUGCGGGUCCAUUUGAAAGUCACAUGUACCUGGUGGUGGUAGAUGCACAUUCCAAGUGGCCUGAAGUGCAUAUUAUGGAUAGCACCACAGCUGGUAAAACCAUACAAGUGCUACGGGGUCUCUUUAGUCGCCAUGGCAUUCCCCACGUCCUGUCAAAAUGAGUGCAAGUGGAGACGGACCACAAAAUAACCAAAACGGCCAACAGGUUAACCCACGAAUGUUGGCAAAUGGAGAUCAGGAACCUGCUAAUGGCUUCCUGAACGAUCUGUAUCUCGCUCUCCGUGAAUAUUGUUGCUAUCUACAUGAGCUAAUAGCUUCAGUACUGGCACAAUAUGACAAUUACCUUUACGGGGACGACGACGACGACGACGACGACGACGACGACGACGACGACAACGACGAUGACGACAACGACGAUGACGAUGACGACGACGACGAUG